Molecule: long non-coding RNA, 757 nt
Organism: Oncorhynchus tshawytscha (Chinook salmon)
Lineage: Eukaryota; Metazoa; Chordata; Actinopteri; Salmoniformes; Salmonidae
Source: Ensembl
AGGCUAUAUACAGAGGGUACCGGAACAGAGUCAAUGUGGAGGCUAUAUACAGGGGGUACCGGUACAGAGUCAAUGUGGAGGCUAUAUACAGAGGGUACCGGUACAGAGUCAAUGUGGAGGCUAUAUACAGGAGGUACCGGUACAGAGUCAAUGUAAAGACUAUAUACAGGGGGUAGGGGUACAGAGUCAAUGUGGAGGCUAUAAACAGAGGGUACCGGUACAGAGUCAAUGUGGAGGCUAUAUACAGAGGGUACCGGUACAGAGUCAAUGUGGAGGCUAUAUACAGAGGGUACCGGUACAGAGUCAAUGUGGAGACUAUAUACAGGGGGUACCGGUACAGAGUCAAUGUGGAGGCUAUAUACAGGGGAUACCGGUACAGAGUCAAUGUGGAGACUAUAUACAGGGGGUACCGGUACAGAGUCAAUGUGGAGGCUAUAUACAGGGGGUACCUUUACAGAGUCAAUGUGGAGACUAUAUACAGGGGGUACCGGUACAGAGUCAAUGUGGAGGCUAUAUACAGAGGGUACCGGUACAGAGUCAAUGUGGAGGCUAUAUACAGGGUGUACCGGUACAGAGUCAAUGUGGAGGCUAUAUACAGAGGGUACCGGUACAGAGUCAAUGUGGAGACUAUAUACAGGGGGUACCGGUACAGAGUCAAUGUGGAGACUAUAUACAGGGGAUACCGGUACAGAGUCAAUGUGGAGACUAUAUACAGGGGGUACCGGUACAGAGUCAAUGUGGAGACUAUAUACAGGGG